RNAcentral lists this non-coding RNA (185 nucleotides) under Brunnivagina elsteri CCALA 953. RNAcentral's name for it is "Calothrix elsteri CCALA 953 6S / SsrS RNA". It matches the Rfam family "6S / SsrS RNA". From Rfam's summary of the family: E. coli 6S RNA was the first non coding RNA to be sequenced, but its function was unknown until recently. It consists of 184 nucleotides that fold into an extended hairpin structure with a large single-stranded internal bulge. The 6S RNA specifically associates with RNA polymerase holoenzyme containing the sigma70 specificity factor. Lineage: Bacteria; Bacillati; Cyanobacteriota; Cyanophyceae; Nostocales; Calotrichaceae. The record is from Rfam by way of RNAcentral.
AUUGCGCUGCGACGUUGGUGACUGCCAUCAAGUUUUUUGAUCUAUGUCUUUAAGAAAAUGGGAGUCGAUUGUUCUUUGUGGCAGUAUACCGGGCUUAGUUCUCGGAAACUUUAAACGAAGCGAAAGGUUCCCACCCUGGUUUAUCCAGGUCAAAAACUUAGGUAAAACGGCGUUGCGGUCAUACA